CCCCGGCGCCUGAGGUAAAGAACAACCCUAGGCCUGGCAAAAAUCAUCUGGUGGGGUUUUUUGGGGUGUAAACACCGGGAAACGGGCUGCCCCCCCUCGACUUGUCACGGUGUGUGUCUGUGUGUGUGUUGGCACCUCAUCUCCGACAUACUCUCUACAACUACGUGAAAGGACACUGUAGAGAGGUCGGUGCUGGUCUCUUCUCACAGGUAAUUAACGACAGAACGAGAGGGAAUGGCUUCAAGCUCCAACAGGGUAGGUUUAGAUUGAACAUUAGGAAAGAAUUUUUCACCGAAAGAGUGGUCGGGCGUUGGAACAGGCUGCCCAGGGAGGAGGUGGAGUCACCAUCCCUGGCUGUGUUUAAGGGCCGUUUAGAUGCAGUGCUAAGGGACAUGGUGUAGGGGAGGACUUUGUAGAGUAGGGGAGAUGGUUGGACUCGAUGAUCCCAACGGUCUCUUCCAAGCUAGACGAUUCUAUGAUUCCUGUAGGGCUAUGGCUAAUUACUCCCCUCUUUUAUGAUAGAUUGUGGGAGCAGCUUUGCUGGCUGAGCAUGGAGGAUAGAGUGGAGGUGUUUUCGGUGGAAAACGGCGCUGCCUUGUUACCCUCUGGACUGGUUCUCUGGAAUGUGCAUCUUAACGUGACUUGCUUUAUUAUCUACAUAAUGACAUCUCGGGCACCAGCAGGGAAUGGGGAACAGGCACCAGCGAUUCCUUCAAAACACCUCGAUGUGCAGGAGGGGAGGAAGGAGAUGGCGAAGCUUUGGAGACCCUUCCUGUCAGCCCUGUGGUGGCGAGGAGAGGGCUCAGCACCCCUGAAGUGCCACUGCCACAAGAGAGGAGCACCGGGGACAUGGGGCAGGCUGGCAAAUUGUGCCUUUAGGCUACAUCCCCUCGCCCAGCUGAAGAGCAAAGCCAGGCUUCCUGCUGGUGGCAUCGAGCGUAUCGUGGGGCUCGUCUUGAGCUGGGGUGAGUUUGCUGUGCUGGCCUGCCAGCUGGAAAAAUACAGCAGAAACACGCCGUUUGGUCACUGGGGAAUGGCAGCCCAAGGACUGACGGCAGUGGGGUUGGGGACUAGUGAGCUCCCACAGGGCCCUCAGGCUGCUCACCUGCCCACAGCUUCGGCAGCAUCAACGCAGUGAGGGAGGAGGUGGGAUCCCUGGGAAAUGUCAGUGGGUUGCCGAGACCUCACAGGAUAUUUUAAAUGAAGGAUUUGGCACAGUCUGUACACCAGAAGCAGAAGGGAAAGCAUUCCGGGACGUGGUACUUGACUUGGCAGGUUCUCAUUUGGCUAACUGAAAAAUCAUUCUUUUGGUUCAUAUUUAAUUCAUUCCAGUUGAUGCUUCAUUGUCAUGUGGUCAUUUGAUUUGUGGUGGGUCACACGUGGAUCACUGUGUAGUGGUGUUUCUACCUUUCUAAUCAUAGAAUCACGGGAUAAUUUAGGUUGGAAGUGACCUUAAAGCCCCCCCAGUGCCACCCCCUGCCCUGGGCAGGGACACCUCCCACCACACCAGGCUGCUCCAAGCCCCCUCCAACCUGCCCUUCAACCCCUCCAGGGAUGGGGCAGCCACAGCUUCUCGGGGCAACCUGGGCCAGGCUCUCACCACCCUCACCCCAAACAAGUUCUUCCCCACAGCUCAGCUCCAUCUCCCCUCUUGCAGGGUCAAACCCUUCCCCCUCCUCCUAUAAUCCCCUGUAUUCCGACAAGAAACCAAAUAAAGGCAAGUUAUUUUUAUUCUUGCUUUUUACU
Molecule: long non-coding RNA, 1746 nt
Filed under: Calidris pugnax (ruff)
Lineage: Eukaryota; Metazoa; Chordata; Aves; Charadriiformes; Scolopacidae
Description: lncRNA (ENSCPUG00000005720.1)
Source: RNAcentral